This 804-nucleotide ribosomal RNA is filed under the name Santessonia namibensis. Its description in RNAcentral is "SSU rRNA". It matches the Rfam family "Eukaryotic small subunit ribosomal RNA", at positions 54 to 868 of the family's 1831-position model. Lineage: Eukaryota; Fungi; Ascomycota; Lecanoromycetes; Caliciales; Caliciaceae. The record is from RNAcentral.
CAUGUCUAAGUUUAAGCAACUAUACGGUGAAACUGCGAAUGGCUCAUUAAAUCAGUUAUCGUUUAUUUGAUAGUACCUUACUACAUGGAUAACCGUGGUAAUUCUAGAGCUAAUACGUGCUAAAAACCUCGACUUCGGAAGGGGUGUAUUUAUUAGAUAAAAAACCAAUGCCCUUCGGGGCUCCCUGGUGAUUCAUAAUAACUCAACGAAUCGCAUGGCCUUGCGCCGGCGAUGGUUCAUUCAAAUUUCUGCCCUAUCAACUUUCGAUGGUAGGAUAGUGGCCUACCAUGGUUUCUACGGGUAACGGGGAAUUAGGGUUCGGUUCCGGAGAGGGAGCCUGAGAAACGGCUACCACAUCCAAGGAAGGCAGCAGGCGCGCAAAUUACCCAAUCCCGAUACGGGGAGGUAGUGACAAUAAAUACUGAUACAGGGCUCUUUUGGGUCUUGUAAUUGGAAUGAGUACAAUUUAAACACCUUAACGAGGAACAAUUGGAGGGCAAGUCUGGUGCCAGCAGCCGCGGUAAUUCCAGCUCCAAUAGCGUAUAUUAAAGUUGUUGCAGUUAAAAAGCUCGUAGUUGAAAUUUGGGCCUGGCUGUCCGGUCCGCCUCACCGCGUGCACUGGUUCGGCCGGGCCUUUCCUUCUGGGGAGCCGCAUGCCCUUCGUUGGGUGUGCCGGGGAACCAGGACUUUUACUUUGAAAAAAUUAGAGUGUUCAAAGCAGGCCUAUGCUCGAAUACAUUAGCAUGGAAUAAUAGAAUAGGACGUGUGGUUCUAUUUUGUUGGUUUCUAGGACCGCCGUAAUGA